RNAcentral lists this ribosomal RNA (274 nucleotides) under uncultured bacterium. Its description in RNAcentral is "partial 16S ribosomal RNA". It matches the Rfam family "Bacterial small subunit ribosomal RNA", at positions 523 to 796 of the family's 1533-position model. The record is from RNAcentral.
AUACGAAGGGGGCAAGCGUUGUUCGGAAUAACUGGGCGUAAAGCGCACGUAGGCGGAAUGUUAAGUUAGAGGUGAAAUCCCAGGGCUCAACCCUGGAACUGCCUUUAAUACUGGCAAUCUAGAGACCGAGAGAGGUGAGUGGAAUUCCGAGUGUAGAGGUGAAAUUCGUAGAUAUUAGGAGGAACACCAGUGGCGAAGGCGGCUCACUGGCUCGGUACUGACGCUGAGGUGCGAAAGCGUGGGGAGCAAACAGGAUUAGAUACCCCAGUAGUCC